UACGAGAGGCCCAAACGUUAUUCGGAAUUACUGGGCUUAAAGAGUUCGUAGGCGGCAUGAAAAGCAGGGUGUGAAAGCCCUCGGCUCAACCGAGGAAUUGCGCUCUGAACUGUCGUGCUUGAGGAACCCAGAGGUGAGCAGAACAGAUGGUGGAGCGGUGAAAUGCGUUGAUAUCAUCUGGAAUACCGGAGGCGAAGGCGGCUCACUGGGGGUUUUCUGACGCUGAGGAACGAAAGCCAGGGUAGCGAACGGG
Molecule: ribosomal RNA, 253 nt
Filed under: uncultured bacterium
Lineage: Bacteria
Description: partial 16S ribosomal RNA
Rfam family: Bacterial small subunit ribosomal RNA
Source: RNAcentral